This 376-nucleotide ribosomal RNA is filed under the name uncultured bacterium. Its description in RNAcentral is "bacterial SSU rRNA". It matches the Rfam family "Bacterial small subunit ribosomal RNA", at positions 524 to 898 of the family's 1533-position model. The record is from RNAcentral.
GACGAAGGUGGCGAGCGUUGUUCGGAAUUACUGGGCAUAAAGCGCGCGUAGGUGGCUUGGUAUGUCAAUGGUGAAAUCCCGUGGCUCAACCAUGGAAUUGCCGUUGAAACUGCCUUGCUUGAGUGCAGGAGGGGAGAGUGGAAUUCCUAGUGUAGCGGUGAAAUGCGUAGAUAUUAGGAGGAACGCCGGAGGCGAAAGCGACUCUCUGGACUGCAACUGACACUGAGGUGCGAAAGCUAGGGGAGCAAACAGGAUUAGAUACCCUGGUAGUCCUAGCUGUAAACGAUGGGCACUGGGUGGAGAGAGUUCCGAUGCUUUCUCUGUCGUAGCUAAUGCGUUAAGUGCCCCGCCUGGGGAGUAUGGUCGCAAGGCUAAA